CGCAGUUUCUUUCCCAGAUAACACUGAAUAAUUUCUUAAAAAGAAAUCCCUGAAAGAAUCAGAUGGUCAGGUAAAGUGCUGUCCACGCAGGGAGGACCUGGGACAAGACACCCAUGAUCUCCUUACUGCGAGGCAGCAGAAGUACCACUUGCACCACAGGGGUCACCACAGCGGAUCAUCUGUCUCCUAUCCCUGUCUUUUACAUUGUUUUGUGCCACACCAACAGUCCUCAUGUCCGCCCCCACCACAACCAUAAACCUCCUUUCUGGCCUUCCUCUUUUCAUCUUGACUGGCAGUUCCAUAAUAUAAAAUGCUGUACCAUAAAAAUAAAGAGCUAUAAAAAGAAGUCAAUAUGGCAAAAAGAGACACACAUCUGUCAAAACUGUAAGAACA
Molecule: long non-coding RNA, 393 nt
Organism: Polypterus senegalus (gray bichir)
Lineage: Eukaryota; Metazoa; Chordata; Cladistia; Polypteriformes; Polypteridae
Exons: 3
Source: RefSeq, a predicted model, not a curated record